UUGCCUCUCAGGCAACUCCCUCGCACGACGCCUUCCCUACAGUUGCCCGAUCCUUCUUUUCUGCAAGGAAUGUCCUCGGACCCCUCCCCAAGGCUGGUUGCCCACGAUAUGCCGUCCCGAGCCUGUAACAGGACCUCGUCGGACGUUGCAAGCUGGAUCUAUCGUGUUCUCUUGUUGUCGGCUUCUAGACGACCCAGCCAUGUCGAGGGAAGAAGGUUCGGAACUUAACCCUACGAUUUCUCCGGUUUCAGUCUUGCGCCCAGUCGUUCAACCCGCCUUUUAAGUUUUCUCAAUGUGCUGCUCGGAGGCAUUCCCAUUGAAAAAUGGGAAUAGCGAUGGGCGAUGCUGAGGAAGACCGAAGGACGGUGAGAACUUUCCAGUCACCUUUGGGUGUGUGAAAGGGAUGGGCCAUGAGUCAUUUGGUAAGAGCCUCUGGUCUGAGGACGCUCGUCAGCUCGGAACGCUGGAACCUGGACGUCGGCCAUGAUUAAACUAUCCCGGAGGUGUGAUCAGCUGGAGGACGCAUGCCGUUGUCACCCUGCCAUUGGCUCGACCGCUGUGUCGUAUCGCCGGCCAGAUCCGAGAGUUGGGCACAAAUCUCGCUCCGUACAAUCAAUCUUGACAGCAUUUCACCACGCAUCCUUGACCUCGUCUUGCCUGAACCGCUUUGCUCAGCUCAGCGGCGCAAGGGUCUUUGGGCUCCAUACAGAAAUGCUGCAAUAGCUUGAUCAUCAUGCGAAACUGCAAAGCCUUCGGUCCUCUCGGGUCUGACUUUUCACUGGGUAUUUCAUCAGUGGUAGUUUGACAAUAGCUUGUCGUGCUUGCUCAGUCCGCUCCAGGGACACACCACAGCGAAUGCUCCAUGUGUGUGAUGCAGUAGCAUCUAGUUUGGCCAGGCGCAUUAGCUCUCCGUCGUUUGCUCCGUCCAACGAGCAGGAGGGACGCCGGUACCUGCUAUGCUUCUCGAUAGAACAUGGCGUUUCCUCUAGUAUUCUCCUGCAAAGGAAGGAUUUGAGAUGACAGUGCGAUUUUUUUGGAUGUUUUUUGUUUGCACGUCAAUGCCCCCCUAAGGCUCGCUGAAGUGAGACCGUUGGGGAGGACACAAAAACUAGUCCUUGUUGGCAGUGCGCCACAUACAGGAGGAGUCCUGGUUGAUCGGAUGCGGCUGCUUGGAUCUCAAUCUUCAGCAUGAUCAUCUGCCUGUCGAUGACGGUAUCCUAUCUCAGCUUGUUUGAUUGCGCGUCUGCGGGAAGUGUUCUUGUUUCUGUUGGAAGCAGGGCCGGGACCCAUCUCGAGUUGGAGUCAAAGAUUCGUUCUUGUCCGGUGCUGCGGGCAACAAGAACGUCGGAAUACCCCCCCCCCCCCAGCGUGCAUCCUACCUGCGAGUAUUUGCGAUAUUAGGAUUAAGGGCAGGCCAAGUGUUGGUAGUCCUGGGUUGCCUUUGUACCAGAAAUGGUACAAGGGCGGCCCCCCCAAUCUGAGG
RNAcentral lists this telomerase RNA (1483 nucleotides) under Stachybotrys chlorohalonatus IBT 40285. RNAcentral describes it as "Stachybotrys chlorohalonata IBT 40285 Ascomycota telomerase RNA". It matches the Rfam family "Ascomycota telomerase RNA", at positions 190 to 1858 of the family's 1858-position model. The record is from Rfam by way of RNAcentral. Lineage: Eukaryota; Fungi; Ascomycota; Sordariomycetes; Hypocreales; Stachybotryaceae.